Molecule: long non-coding RNA, 1199 nt
Organism: Vicia villosa (hairy vetch)
Lineage: Eukaryota; Viridiplantae; Streptophyta; Magnoliopsida; Fabales; Fabaceae
Exons: 4
Source: RefSeq, a predicted model, not a curated record
UGAAAGAGAGGUGUGCAGCCCAAACUGAAAUAAAAAAAAGGAUGGGCCGGACCGGGUCGGGUCAGGAUGACCUGGAUCCGCCCAACAAUCUAUUCCAAACAUGGGUUAAAGAAACCCUAGCCAAAAGAAAUGAGGCAGCGCUCAUUCUCUUCUCCCUCACGUGUUCACGUUCUCAUAAAAAACAAAAACAAUUCUCUGCUUCUCUCUCUCACGGAACAACGACAACAACAUUGAAGCUCUCUCUCAAAUUCGUUAGCCCUCUCAUUGAAGAACAACGAAAAAGACUCUCGGUUCUCCUCUUUCAAACGAUUAUCUCUCGCUCUCUCACGAUAGUGAACAGCAGGAACUCGGCGGUUCCUCUCUCUCAUUCAUUUGCUUUUGCCGAAUCAAAUAGCCUUCGAAAUUUCCGGCGGCCAUGGGAGGAAAAUCAGAAGCAAAAAUCCAGGAAAACUAAAGUUCACAGUAACUGCAAUAUUGAGACUGAGAGUGGAGAUGGCUUACCUGCGGCUAGAAGACUUUAGCCGGAUCAUUGUUGCAGGUUUGUCGGUGUUUUUGAAUUUCAUUUGUGGUAGAGAGGUUUGAAGUUGGAUGAUGAGGUGAAGAUAAACAAACUGCUUUUGAUGAAGGUGAUGCCACAACACCUCUUUUGGAUAUUAGGGAGACUUGAAGAUGAACUUCAAGUUGGAACUCUCCACCAAGGUAUGAACUACUUCUUCACCCCUUUUCAAACUAUGGAACUUUUGAAAACUAUGAAAAGAGAGAAAGCAAGAACUUAAGUUGCUUUUGUGUGAUUUGUUGCAAAGGGGGAACUUCCUAUUUAUAGGCAAAGUUUAGGGAUUUGUAAGGAAUUAAGAAACUUGAUUGGGAGGUUAUAGUCAUCUCAAGAAUGAGAAUAAGAAUAAGAAUAUUCUUCAUCAUUGCAAGAGAUAGAAUAUAUUCUCUAUGCAAGUGGCAUGAAAAAUAUCUCUUUGAUUCUUUUCUCUUUUUUUGACUUAUUCUUUUUGAUUUAUUUUGUUGAACCUUUGCUAAUCUCACCCCUCUUUGUUUUCUUUUUCAUGUGACAUGAGUAUUUUGAAGAAAGCAUGAAGAAGCUUGAACUUGAAGGAUGAAGACUUUGAAGAUUGAAGAAUUCAAGAAUGUCUUUGAAGUUUUAUUUUUCUUUUCCUUGUAAUUCCAACUUUGUAUGAAUGAAACUUUGU